GAUGAACGCUGGCGGCGUGCUUAACACAUGCAAGUCGAACGGUGAAGGCGGAGCUUGCUCUGCUGGAUCAGUGGCGAACGGGUGAGUAACACGUGAGCAAUCUGCCCCUGACUCUGGGAUAAGCGCUGGAAACGGCGUCUAAUACUGGAUACGAGCUGCGAAGGCAUCUUCAGCAGCUGGAAAGAACUUCGGUCAGGGAUGAGCUCGCGGCCUAUCAGCUUGUUGGUGAGGUAACGGCUCACCAAGGCGUCGACGGGUAGCCGGCCUGAGAGGGUGACCGGCCACACUGGGACUGAGACACGGCCCAGACUCCUACGGGAGGCAGCAGUGAGGAAUAUUGCACAAUGGGCGAAAGCCUGAUGCAGCAACGCCGCGUGAGGGACGACGGCCUUCGGGUUGUAGACCUCUUUUAGCAGGGAAGAAGCGAAAGUGACGGUACCUGCAGAAAAAGCGCCGGCUAACUACGUG
RNAcentral lists this ribosomal RNA (468 nucleotides) under uncultured bacterium. RNAcentral describes it as "partial 16S ribosomal RNA". It matches the Rfam family "Bacterial small subunit ribosomal RNA", at positions 28 to 507 of the family's 1533-position model. The record is from RNAcentral.